RNAcentral lists this ribosomal RNA (1290 nucleotides) under hot springs metagenome. RNAcentral describes it as "bacterial SSU rRNA". It matches the Rfam family "Archaeal small subunit ribosomal RNA", at positions 1 to 1241 of the family's 1478-position model. The record is from RNAcentral.
ACCGGUUGAUCCUGCCGGACCCGACCGCUAUCGGGGUAGGGCUAAGCCAUGCGAGUCGCGCGCCCGGGGGCGCCCGGGAGCGGCGCACGGCUCAGUAACACGUGCCCAACCUACCCUCGGGAGGGGGACACCCCCGGGAAACUGGGGUCAAUCCCCCAUAGGGGAAGGGCGCUGGAAGGCCCCCUCCCCGAAAGGACGGCGGCCGAUCCGCCGCCGCCCGCCCGAGGAUGGGGGCACGGCCCAUCAGGUAGUUGGCGGGUUAAAGGCCCGCCAAGCCGAAGACGGGUAGGGGCGGUGAGAGCCGCGAGCCCCGAGAUCGGCACUGAGACAAGGGCCGAGGCCCUACGGGGUGCAGCAGGCGCGAAUACUCCGCAAUGCGGGCAACCGCGACGGGGCUACCCCGAGUGCCGGGCGAAGAGCCCGGCUUUUGCCCGGUCUAAAAAGCCGGGAGAAUAAGCGGGGGGCAAGUCUGGUGUCAGCCGCCGCGGUAAUACCAGCUCCGCGAGUGGUCGGGGUGUUUACUGGGCUUAAAGCGCCCGUAGCCGGCCCGGCAAGUCGCUCCUGAAAUCCCAGGGCCCAACCCUGGGGCGGGGGGCGAUACUGCCGGGCUAGGGGGCGGAAGAGGCCGCCGGUACUCCGGGGGUAGGGGCGAAAUCCGUUAAUCCCCGGAGGACCACCAGUGGCGAAAGCGGGCGGCCAGAACGCGCCCGACGGUGAGGGGCGAAAGCCGGGGGAGCAAAGGGGAUUAGAUACCCCUGUAGUCCCGGCCGUAAACGAUGCGGGCUAGCUGUCGGCUGGGCUUAGGGCCCGGCCGGUGGCGAAGGGAAACCGUUAAGCCCGCCGCCUGGGGAGUACGGCCGCAAGGCUGAAACUUAAAGGAAUUGGCGGGGGGGCACCACAAGGGGUGAAGCUUGCGGCUUAAUUGGAGUCAACGCCGGAAACCUCACCCGGGGCGACAGCAGGAUGAAGGCCAGGCUAACGACCUUGCCGGACGAGCUGAGAGGAGGUGCAUGGCCGUCGUCAGCUCGUGCCGUGAGGUGUCCGGUUAACCCGUGCCCACCACGGGGCCGAAAGUCCGGCAACGAGCGAGACCCCCGCCCCUAGUUGCUACCCGGUCCUUCGGGGCCGGGGGCACACUAGGGGGACUGCCGGCGUAAGCCGGAGGAAGGAGGGGGCCACGGCAGGUCAGUAUAGGGCCUCGAGCCGCGAGGCAGAGGCCCGCUGAAGCCCCGAAAGCCGUGGCCCCGCCCUUAUACACCCCCAUCUAGAGGGGUAUCUGCCUAAACUCUG